This 258-nucleotide ribosomal RNA is filed under the name uncultured bacterium. Its description in RNAcentral is "partial 16S ribosomal RNA". It matches the Rfam family "Bacterial small subunit ribosomal RNA", at positions 526 to 779 of the family's 1533-position model. The record is from RNAcentral.
CGUAGGGGCGAGCGUUGUCCGGAAUUAUUGGGCGUAAAGCGCGCGCAGGCGGUCCUUUAAGUUCUGAUGUGAAAGACCCACCGGCUUAACCGUGGAGGGUCAUUGGAAAACUGGAGGACUUGAGUACAGAAGAGGAGAGUGGAAUUCCACGUGUAGCGGUGAAAUGCGUAGAGAUGUGGAGGAACACCAGUGGCGAAGGCGACUCUCUGGUCUGUAACUGACGCUGAGGCGCGAAAGCGUGGGGGAGCGAACAGGAUU